UCUAGCUCAGGAUGAACGCUGGCGGCGUGCUUAAUACAUGCAAGUCGAACGAAGCACCUGCGACGGAUCCCUUCGGGGUGAAGAUGCUUGUGACUGAGUGGCGGACGGGUGAGUAACGCGUGGGUAACCUGCCUUAUGCAGGGGGACAACAGUUAGAAAUGACUGCUAAUACCGCAUAAGCGCACGAGACCGCAUGGUCAAGUGUGAAAAGAUUUAUCGGCAUAAGAUGGACCCGCGUCUGAUUAGGUAGUUGGUGAGGUAACGGCCCACCAAGCCGACGAUCAGUAGCCGACUUGAGAGAGUGAUCGGCCACAUUGGGACUGAGACACGGCCCAGACUCCUACGGGAGGCAGCAGUGGGGAAUAUUGGGCAAUGGGCGAAAGCCCUGACCCAGCAACGCCGCGUGAAGGAUGAAGGUCUUCGGAUUGUAAACUUCUUUGAUUGGGGAAGAAUAAAUGACCUACCCAAAGAACAAGUCACGGCUAACUACGUGCCAGCCGCGGC
Molecule: ribosomal RNA, 504 nt
Filed under: uncultured bacterium
Lineage: Bacteria
Description: bacterial SSU rRNA
Rfam family: Bacterial small subunit ribosomal RNA
Source: RNAcentral